CUUGAAGUCCACGCUGCCAGGCCCCCCUGGGGCAGUUAACACAAUGAAUGAUUUACUCAUUGCCAGUUCAUCUAUAUCAAAUUACAGGUUUUCUUGAGUCUCAACAUUGACUCAUUUUUUUCCUGCAGUUAAUGUGCUUGUGGAGUUGUUCUUUUGAAGGGAUGCCGGUUCUCCUUCUCAAUGCAGGAAUGAAAAUAAUUCUACCUAAGUGGAAAAACAAUCACAGAAAGUAUCCAAUGGAGUGUUCUUUUUUUAUUCUCAGCUGGAUUCAUGGAUAUUUAUAUUUAUUUGUAUUCAUGUAUUUGCAUUUUUUUCUUACUGAGCACCAUUUUACCUGGUUGAACUUUGUUUUAUAAAUGCACAAGGGCUUACAUCAUCCUGUGGGCAUCUCUGAAGAUCUAAGGGAAGAAAAUCUGAACCAGAAAGAAUGUGGCUGGCUUGAGGUCUGACGCAAAAGAAAAAACUUAUAAAUUUCCUCAUAGAACUCAUAUUAAAAUGGGAGUUUGGAUUCAAGCAACUAAACACUGAAAUUAAAAUUCUUAUAUGGGGUAUUUGUAGUUUCCAAUUAUAUCUUUAUGAUAUUUUCUCUGUGGAAGUUGAUUGCUGUUCAUUAUAAUAAAUUACUUGAAUUGUCUGUAUCUUUACUUAACCAUUUCUUUUCAUGUCUUUGCUUUCUUUUGUUCUUUUUAAAAGUAGAAAAUGCUCAGUUGCUAAAUAAUGAAGACUUAAUUUUUUGUUUCUCCCAAAUUUUACCUUACUCAUGAUCAUUAAUAAUUUUCAGAAGGGUUCUGAACCCUUCUCUUUUCUUGUGAACUCUAGAAAAAUGCUAGCUCAGUAUGCAUAGUACUCCAUCCUUAACCAGCUAUGUUAUUGCUUUGAACCCUGUUCUCCAACUUACUCAAGAAACUGCAGUUAAAUAUUAUUGGGAUCCUUUUUUUUUCUAUAACAAACACGUUUCUAUGUAUUUUAUGGAUAAUUAAAUAAAACUUGAACUCUGGGCUUAAGGUUUUUCUCACUGACUUGUCAUAGGAAAUACAAAAGUAACAGAAAUGAAUUUGUGGCUUAAAAGCAUCUUUUAGAGGGCCAGGGAUUUAGCUCAGUGGUGCUGUCCACUGCCUCACAAGCGAAAGGUCCCGAGUUUGAUCCGGUACCAAAAAAAAGGCUUCUGUGACCUACAUUUUUUGAGACAAUGAAAGUAAGGAGUCAAGAUCUUACAUGAUAAAGUGAAAGACAUCACUACCAGGAAAGCCAGUUAUGUGAAACAACCGUGUGAACCAUGUAAAAGCUGGAGAGGGGUGUCUUGAGAACCAGGGCUCAGUUUUGUCACAAGGGUUAGGUCAAUAGAAUACCAGUGCCACAUGCCUGGCAGAGUUCUUGCCACAUAGAUGUUAGUUGCUCCCUGGAUUAACCCCAGCUCUUGCUUUAUGGAUUCCUUGCUGACAUACCAUCAUAUUUAUCAGUGCUCUUACCUGUUUCUUUCCUUUGUCAAGGUUGUCAUCCACCUGGCCCUGCCUACGCAGCUGCAGCUAAAGGGCAGGUUCUCAGAUCAUAUGCCUCUCCCCUACUUUAUUUCCUUUUUUAAAAAAUCACCAUUUGGGACUUAGAGUUGGCUACUCAGAUUAAAAAAGUGUCUAAUUUAAUUUGGAUCAUUGAACCUUCAUUUCACUUUGGCUCGUUCAACUUAUUGAAUCAGACCAAAUUCUCAUAGUCCCUCAGGAAAUACCAUCUUUUACCCACAAGUUGGCAAAGGACUCCCAUUUUCAAAGAGAUAUUCAACCCAAUAACCAGAGGAGGUCCUGUGGCAGUCAAGAUUGGUCAAGGAAACAUAGGUCACUAUAAUCAUGACUCAGCCCUGGUUAUUAUCAUUGGGACAUAAUUUCACCUCUCUGCUAUUUCUAGCCAAUCUAUUUCUUAUCUCUCUUCUGCUUUUUCCUUUAUAUUUCAGCAAAAAUUCUAAGGUCUGUGAUCCAUUUUCAUGUUCGCCAAGAUCACAUUGGCACAGAAAUUUUUCUGCAGCCUUCCCUUGAGGACAACAUCACACUGAAACUUUCUGACCUUAAGCUAAAGGCUGUGCAAGCCUCUUAGCUACUUGUCUUCUGAUCAGCUUCUACUCCCACCUCCUCUUUUACUCAUUCAUUUCUUUCUUCCUUUCCUUAACACAGGUACUCCAUAGUUCUUUCCCCAUCUCUCUCCAGCUUUCUUUCAUCUGACCCUGAAAGACAAAAUGCUGAUAAGCUCCCUUCCCUGCUUCAUUAAAAAAUUGCCAUUAAAAUUUAUAGCUGGUUUAGGCUGGCCAUCACUGAUCUUCUUGAUUUAGUUACCGCCAAGAAAUGCUUUAUGAUUAUCCACUGACUUAUUUAUAACAAACAUAACAAAGUCCUUGGUGUUAGCAGCCUGUAGAGAAAUUAUUUGUUUUGAAAAUAGAGUGGAUACUUAAAGUUCUCUGUGAAGAAUGGGAGUGUUUGGGUUUGUUGUACUUGCAUAUUUUAUAUAGAAAGGUAAAGUCUCCAAGCCUCAAUAUGUAAUAACAUCAAAUCAUUUUGUUGCUGUGUAGAAAAUGUGUGUUCUAAGGUUGCACAGAAAAUUUCCUAAUACUUCUUAAGCACUGGUUUCAGUAGGCCACUGGUGAGGCUGGUAAGUGAAAACAAAGUGUACUGGUGAGGAUUAAAUGAUUCAUUGGCGGAAACUGUUUGAACAUCUAAAUGUGAUGAAGUUAGUUGAUUGUAGAAGAGUAAUUUAGAAGCUAAUGUAAUAACCACCUGUCUUGAGUCUGCUAUUUGAAGGAUGGUCAGAGAAGGAAUGAAUGCAGUGUUUGAAAUGUCUCAAUAGUGUUGAGUGUUCUGAUAUGUGUGAAAGUGAUCUGUUCUCCUUGGCACUCUGUCAAUCACUACAUGAGUUUAAGGUGUUCUGCAGUAUCCAAAGUCUUUUAACAGAUGCCUUUUGUCCUGAGAAAAACAGUGCAAUCACAUAGAACAGGCCAAUAAGAACAGUUGUAAUGCUUGUUUCCAAGGAGAAAUUGUGGCUGUAUCUUCUGGAAGUAAACACCAACAUUAUGGUGCCAGUGAUUGCUUUAGCACUUCACUGUCACAGAAGAAAUCUGAUGUCCACAGAAUGGUCAUAAUAUUCUGCCUUCUGUGCUUAGGAUCUGGCAGUAAAGACCAAGUGUCCAUACCUGUACUACUAUUGAUUACUGUAUAUUCCUUUGCUGAAGGCAGUGCUAUCUUAUGGGGUGUUGCAGAUAUAGAAGAGCUUGGUGGUGAAGGUGGAAGAAUAAAGACUGGUUUCUGCUGGUUCAAGUGGACUUUACCUAAUAAAUAUGGGAGCCAAGAGUAGAAGAACCAAUCACAUCAGGGAAAGCCUUCAAUAGCAGUUUUAAUGAGGUGCCUGGAUAAUUCAGGAAGUGUGGCUAGAUAAACCAAGUUCAAGUGAGGGUCCCACGUGACCCAAUCAAUUUCCACAUGAUAAUCCACAGAAAGCACUGUGUCAAAAUCACAACAAUGACAACUGAAACCUAAUCUUUAUCUCUUAAAAAUCAGCAAGGUAGAUUCGGUUUAUAAUCCACCAUAAAACACCUCUCAAACUCCUUUUGGUUCCUUUCCAACUUCUCCGACUCCAAAGCUGCUCCAGAAACAUUCACAUCCCAAAUAUCAAAAUGCUUUUUCACAUACCAUGUGGCACAUGUGAGCUUUCAUCACUUAUGCACACCUUCAGCUCUUAGUUUGCAGGCUCUACUCAGCCUCUCUUGUUUUGCUUUGCUUUCUCUUGUCCUUUGUUGUUUAAUGUGGUUCUAGCAUUUAAAAAAAGAUUAGGAACUAGUUUGGUAAAAUUCUCUUAGAAGCUAAGACAAGGGCAAGUGAAGAGUCUGAGGUAAAUACAAAGUUCUCUCAUUAGCUGGGGUGGAAACAGCAAUCUCAAACCAUUGCUGUGUUAAAAUAUCUGGUCCUAUCCCAACCUACAGUAAGAGCUAACAUUUAUUAGGAGUCAACAAAGUUCACGCAUUUUGUUGAGUAUUUUUAUAUAAUUAUGACAUGAUAAUUCUAAUUUAUCUUACAAAUUUGUAACAUCACUGUAAAAAUAAGGAGACAGUAGUUCAGAACGACUGAAUAACUUGCCAAGGCCACAUCGCAGGUUAAUAACAGAAUUAGGAUUUCCGAACCUCAGAAACCCUGCAAACACAGUGUACCUCAGUUCAUGAACACUAGUUUGCAAACAAUUUGGUUUACAAACAGAAACUUUUGGAAAAAUUUUGUUUUUGUUUGCAAACUCUACAUUGGGUGGCAAACAUGCCCGCAGUCGUAUUUCCCACACAAACACCAUCAUGGCCAUCAUUUCCAAAAUCAUAGAAAAAAAAUUAAGUUCGUGAAUCAAGAUACCACUGUAUCAUAUUCUUAAUCAUUAUAAACUCUAUGAAUUAGCAUCUCUCAAUGGCUGAGAUUGUACUGAGAUUAAAGCAAUUACUGAAACAUUGAUGCUGUUUGAAUAUAAGAAAUAUAAUUUAAGAAAUAUAAUUUAAUUCCAUCCUUUUUUUGAGGUAAGUGUAUUAUUUUGGACCCAACUCUGUAUUAACAAGAUCUGUAUUAGCAAAGGUUAGACACUUGUCUACAAAUUAGUACUGAAAUGUCCCAAUAUAAAUGCUUGUGAUUUGGAAGAGAAAUUCAAAAUUUAAAACUUCUCUUAAAAUUUUUUUUAACUGUUUCCUAUCCUCUGCCCAAAUGAUCAGCAGGAAUUCUAUAGCCCAGGGUUAAAAUUCUGAAUUUGUUACCCCUGAGUGGUUCACACCUCUCCACUCUGCCUCUUCUUGGAAACUGGAGGAAGGUUUUAGGAAGGAGGGGGAUUAAAGAGCUCAUGAGCACGUGGCAGUGAUGGAGCAUGGACCAAACCAGUCCACCAGUUUCUCUGGACAAUAUGCCACAUCCAACAGG
This 4922-nucleotide long non-coding RNA is filed under the name Heterocephalus glaber (naked mole-rat). RNAcentral's name for it is "lncRNA (ENSHGLG00000040354.1)". The record is from RNAcentral. Lineage: Eukaryota; Metazoa; Chordata; Mammalia; Rodentia; Bathyergidae.